Molecule: long non-coding RNA, 995 nt
Organism: Gordionus sp. m RMFG-2023
Lineage: Eukaryota; Metazoa; Nematomorpha; Gordioida; Chordodea; Parachordodidae
Exons: 5
Source: RefSeq, a predicted model, not a curated record
GUGUCUUAACAAAAAGAAUAUUCAGGAGGACAUUUAAUUCAUUUAUAUAAUUUUGAUCAAAGAUAUCAGUUAUCAAUCAUGAACAUUCUGAAUGUUAAUUCAAUCUAUAGUCUGGAUCCCCAACCACUUUUAAAUUAUAUUUAUAAUUCUGAAGUUUCUCCAAUUGAUUCGAAAAUGCCCUUGAUAGCCUCUAGUAAUAAUUGUAGCACGAAGCAUUUAACUGUACAGCUUGGUACAGGAAAUUGGUAUUUGUCCUGAUGUUCCCCAUGCCGUCAAUGUCUCUAAAAACAAAACCCCAGAGGGCAACGGCGUGGGGGUUUUAAAAGAGCCCCCUGCUGGGUAUAAGGAUGAUGCUAACAAUGAACUAUCUCCUUCUUCAUUAGCUGCUAAAUCUUUACCUUUUUUCAUUACUUUUCAGCAAAUUUUAACGAAUUCUUUAACUGUCAAAUGGCAAGCUUUGUUCUUUGAUAAAAAACUUUAUAUAACAAUCCCUGAAGGUGGUUUACCUGAAGGUUCUAAAGAAAGUUUUGUUAACUUGUUAGAAUACACUGAGGAAAUAUUACAUUGUAAGAAUGCAAUUGUCUGUUUUAAUAAAAAUAGAAUGGAUAAAGGUUGUUUGAUAAAAACUUUUAUGUUUUUGGGAUUUUCUUUGCUACCACCAGGACAUCAAUUCACUUUAAAACAUUCUGAUAAAAUAUUUAUGUCUUAUGAUAUAUAAUUUUUUCUAUAAUUUUAUUAAACUAAUGAGGAAGGUUUUUAUUUUAUAUUGUUAGCAUAAAACUUAUAUUUCAGUAGCUACCCCAUUAAUUUUAUCUUUAUUUUAAAAAGUUUCAUUAUUUCAAUAUAUCACUAAUUAAUUACUUAAUUUGUAAUAAGUAUUGUUUAAUUAUAAAUGUUUUAAUGUUAUUUUUUUUUUACAUAUUACAAUGAUAUAAUUGUAUUUUCCAUAUAUUAUUAAAUUUCAUUACCAAAUAAAUAUUUUAAUCACUGGAACC